Molecule: ribosomal RNA, 502 nt
Filed under: uncultured bacterium
Lineage: Bacteria
Description: partial 16S ribosomal RNA
Rfam family: Bacterial small subunit ribosomal RNA
Source: RNAcentral
AUUGAACGCUGGCGGUAUGCUUAACACAUGCAAGUCGAACGGCAGCACAGUAUGUAGCAAUACAUAUGGGUGGCGAGUGGCGGACGGGUGAGUAACGCGUAGGAAUCUACCCUAAAGCGGGGGACAACCCGAGGAAACUCGGGCUAAUACCGCAUAAUCUCGAAAGAGUAAAGCUGGGGCAACCUGACACUUUAGGAGGAGCCUGCGUCCGAUUAGCUAGUUGGUGAGGUAAAGGCUCACCAAGGCGAUGAUCGGUAGCUGGUCUGAGAGGAUGAUCAGCCACACGGGGACUGAGACACGGCCCAGACUCCUACGGGAGGCAGCAGUGGGGAAUAUUGGACAAUGGGGGCGACCCUGAUCCAGCAAUACCGCGUGUGUGAAGAAGGCCUUAGGGUUGUAAAGCACUUUAGUUGGGGAAGAAGGAUAGUUGUUUAAGAGAUGAUUAUUUUGACGGUACCCAAAGAAUAAGCACCGGCUAACUCUGUGCCAGCCGCCGCAGUAA